GGGCCAGUAAGGUGUGCACCUUGGCUCAUGACCAAUCCAUCGCAGGGCAGCCCGAGCAUAACCAUCAGUCGAGGGAACAAAAAAUGAAGAUCUUUUGAUCGACGCCAUUUUUGUUGCCACAUAUAACGGCACCUGGCAUUGCACAUCAAUCCCACUCUUCUUGUACUCUACAUAGAGGCAUCUGGAGAACUGGUCAAUGUAUGCUUUAGUUGCGGCAUAAACAGCAUACAGAGGAUCAGAGGGGAUAACAAUAGCCGCACCAGAACCAAUAUUAACAAUUGCUCCUCUUUUCCUCUGAAUCAUACCAGGCAAAACAGCUUGAGUAACCUUUGUAGUCCCUUCCACAUUAACUUUAAUCAAAUCUGCCAACAGCUUAUCAUCCACUUCAUGGAAAAAUCUAGCAUAAGGAUACGAAACCCCAACAUUAUUAAUCAAAACCCCAAUAUCCAAUCCUUCAAUUGUCUCCUUAAUCUUCUUAACCCCUUCAUCCAAAUCACCAGAGAAAUCAACGACGACUGUUUUGAUCUGGGUCUGUCCAUAUUUAGCUUUAAUCGAUUCAGAAACAUCCUUAAGUUUAUCAGGGUUACGACCCACAAGAACUAGAUUAAGCCCUUUUCGAGCUAAUUCAAAAGCAAAGCCCUUCCCAAUACCAUCUGUAGGUCCAGUAACAAGUGCCCAUGACCCAUAUUUCUUAAGAUUCUUAGCAGGUCUGAGGAAAUUGACAUAGACCCAUUUGAGAAAGAUGACUGAAAAGCACAAGACUUUCAAGAAACCUAAAGAAAGAAGCAAAAGAAGCCAUACAGGCUGGGAUUUGAGCUGAUGGUAGAUGCAAGACUCCAUGUUUGAGUGGCAGAAACAAGAGAACACGAUAAUUUUAUAUAUAAAUAAAGAAGCGUAUAGAUCUAAAGAUUGAAUCUUGGAGUGUUACACGCGAUGGGUUUG
This 942-nucleotide unclassified non-coding RNA is filed under the name Hevea brasiliensis (rubber tree). Lineage: Eukaryota; Viridiplantae; Streptophyta; Magnoliopsida; Malpighiales; Euphorbiaceae. The record is from RNAcentral.